ACGUCUGCUAUAAAGCAGAUGUACUCUUGCAAAACCUCAAUGCAUAAAUGAUUAUCCUCCAGAUUCUCCACCUCAAGACACUCAUCCAGAUAAUAGAGCAGCACUUUUAAAUGCUAAAUGAUUGUGGCUUAACAGACAAAAGCUGUCCAGCUCUGGCUUCAGUUCUUGGAUCAGAUACCAAUCUGAAAGAGCUGAACAUGAACAAUAAUAAUCUGCAGGAUUCAGGAGUGAAGCUGCUCUGCACUGGACUUAAGGAUAUAAACUGCAAAUUAGAGAUACUGUGUCUGAAGAACAACUGUAUCACAGAAGGAGGUUGUCAUGCUCUGGCUUCAGCUCUAAAUUCAAACCCUUCAAAUCUGACAG
Molecule: long non-coding RNA, 363 nt
Organism: Carassius auratus (goldfish)
Lineage: Eukaryota; Metazoa; Chordata; Actinopteri; Cypriniformes; Cyprinidae
Exons: 3
Source: RefSeq, a predicted model, not a curated record